CACCAUCCUAGCAAUGAAAUCCUCAUAGCGGAUUUUCCCAUCCGAACCGACAUCUACUUCCCGGAUCCAUUCAUCGAACUCGGAUGGCUCGAGCUUCUCUCCAAUAUUAGUCAAAAUGUGGCGCAGAUCCACAACGGAAACGAACCCAGUGGAGUCCUUGUCGAGCACCUUGAAGGCGUCGCGGAGCUGGCGAUCGAAGGGCUCGGGUUUCAUGUGCUUAGCCAUGAGAUCGAGGAAUCUGGGAAAAUCGAAAGGAGCGUUUAGGUUUUCCUCGGCGAUAAUGGCCUUGAGUUGGGCCUGGGUGGGG
This 307-nucleotide unclassified non-coding RNA is filed under the name Hevea brasiliensis (rubber tree). Lineage: Eukaryota; Viridiplantae; Streptophyta; Magnoliopsida; Malpighiales; Euphorbiaceae. The record is from RNAcentral.